UUGAAAGGGAAACGAUUGAAGUCAGUCGUACCGACGAGAAAUCAGCUCUUCGAGUGUGAACUUGUGGACGUGCUUGAGUCUUUAACGGGCCUUGCUGUUUGCAAUGUUUGUGCUUUUUGGGUGUUCUUUUUCGUAUGGUUGGCCAACGUCAGUUUCGAUCAUCAUAAAAUGAUCAGAGGAAUGUAGCUUCGAUCUCGUAUUGAAGUGUUAUAGCCUUUGGUAGAUGUGGUAAUUGAAACUGAGGAUUGCAACGAAUACCCUUUGGGCUAUCCGUCUGGCCUCUGAAAGUUGCCUAGGUUGCCGAAAGCUUGCUUACGGUUGUCUAAGGUGGCGGUCAAAAGGUUAGAACGUGAUUACAUUCGUUAAGGAUGUUGACGUA
Molecule: ribosomal RNA, 379 nt
Filed under: uncultured Glomeromycotina
Lineage: Eukaryota; Fungi; Glomeromycota
Description: LSU rRNA
Source: RNAcentral